CUGUUAGAAUCGACGAGACCCAAAGCUGCACUGUUGCUGCCAGUGCCAGAGAAAGAGGAGCCAUGUACCUGCCCACCGUGACGACCAUCACCCUGCUGUUAACCCUCCAAGCCUUCAGGGGCGCUUACCUUCAGCUCCCAGGAGACGACGGACAGGAUGACGUCAGCUCCGGCGAGUUACUCUCGGGCAUGGAAGACGAAGGGUACCGUUCUCAGAACGUUUCAGAGAUCUCUGGGGAUGGGGCCACCGACUCUUCACUAGGACCCUUCGCUGGCAUACUCCCAGUCCAGUUCAACGAUACCAAUGGAAAUGACACCAGAAUGUCACCCAUGGAAAACUUCAUGCAGGAAAGUGCUGCUCUCACUGGCUGGAUGAACAACAGCAGCACAGGGGAUAAUACAAACAGCACUAAUGUGCUGGACUUGUCCCAAAGCCAAAACAAUACUUGGCUUUAGGGCUUUUAAGCCCCAAUAAUACAGGGAUUAACAACUCAGUGAAACCUAGUUAAAAGUACUUUAUUUAAUUCAAAUGAAUGGAAAUUUGCACUGCUACUCUUUAAUUUAGCUGAUUCACUGUGCUUUUGGGUAUACUUUAAAAUUAAUCAACUCAUCUGUCAAACUAUAACCUGAGAUAAGGCAGACCCAAAAUUGGAAAAGACGGUAAUCUUGAAAUGUCGAAGCAUAAUAAAGUUGUAAUUUGAAGGA
Molecule: long non-coding RNA, 704 nt
Organism: Brienomyrus brachyistius
Lineage: Eukaryota; Metazoa; Chordata; Actinopteri; Osteoglossiformes; Mormyridae
Exons: 2
Source: RefSeq, a predicted model, not a curated record